AGAAUUAACGCUGGUGGCAUGCCUAAUACAUGCAAGUCGAGCGAAUUGUCGAAAGACAAUUAGCGGCGAACGGGUGAGUAAUACAUAUUUAACAUGCCCCCCGGAAGGAAAUAGCCGUUCGAAAGAACGAUUAAUGUCCUAUAGUAUCCCCUUUCAGACAGAAAGGAGAUUUAAAGGUGCAAACCGCCGAGGGAUUGGAAUAUGUCCUAUUAGCUAGUUGGCGGGAUAAAAGCCCACCAAGGCAAUGAUAGGUAGCUGGUCUAAGAGGAUGAACAGCCACAAUGGGAUUGAGAUACGGCCCAUAUUCCUACGGGAAGCAGCAGUAGGGAAUCUUCCACAAUGGACGAAAGUCUGAUGGAGCAAUGCCAUGUGAACGACGAAGGCCAGACAGGUCGUAAAGUUCUUUUAGAGGGGAAAAAUCUGAUGGUACCCUCUGAAUAAGUGACAGCAAACUAUGUGCCAGCAGCUGCGGUAAUACAUAGGUCGCGAGCGUUAUUCGGAUUUAUUGGGCGUAAAGCAAGCGCAGGCGGAUGAAUAAGUUCUGCAUUAAAAGCAGCUGCUUAACAGUUGUUUGUGCCGAAUACUAUUCAUCUAGAAUGUGGUAGAAAGUUUUGGAAUUAAAUAUGGAGCGGUGGAAUGUGUGGAUAUAUUUAAGAACACCAGAGGCGAAGGCGAAAACUUAGGCCAUUAUUGACGCUUAGGCUUGAAAGUGUGGGUAGCAAAUGGGAUUAGAUACCCCAGUAGUCCACACCGUAAACGAUGGGUAUUAGAUGUCGGGACUUGAGUUUCGGCGUUGUAGCUUACGUGUUAAAUACCCCGCCUGGGUAGUACAUAUGCAAAUAUGAAACUCAAAGGAAUUGACGGGGACCUGAACAAGUGGUGGAACAUGUUGCUUAAUUCGAUAAUACACGAAAAACCUUACCAAGGUUUGACAUCCUCUGCAAAGCUAUAGAAAUAUAGUGGAGGUUAUCAGAGUGACAGGUGGUGCAUGGUUGUCGUCAGCUCGUGUCAUGAGAUGUUUGGUUAAGUCCCGCAACGAGCGCAACCCUACUCUUUAGUUACUUGUCUAAAGAGACUGAACAGUAAUGUAUAGGAAGGAUGGGAUCACGUCAAAUCAUCAUGCCCCUUAUGCCUUGGGCCGCAAACGUGUUACAAUGGCGAGUACAAUGUGUUGCAAACCAGCGAUGGUAAGCCAAUCACCAAAACUCGUCUCAGUCCGGAUAAAAGGCUGCAAUUCGCCUUUUUGAAGUUGGAAUCACUAGUAAUCCCGUGUCAGCUAUAUCGGGGUGAAUACGUUCCCAGGUCUUGUACACACCGCCCGUCAAACUAUGAGAGGAAGGAGCAUUUAAAAACAUAUUAAAUUGUGUCAAGAAUGAAACUUCUGAUUGGAGUUAAGUCGUAACAAGGUAGCG
RNAcentral lists this ribosomal RNA (1412 nucleotides) under Candidatus Mycoplasma turicense. Its description in RNAcentral is "bacterial SSU rRNA". It matches the Rfam family "Bacterial small subunit ribosomal RNA". Lineage: Bacteria; Bacillati; Mycoplasmatota; Mollicutes; Mycoplasmatales; Mycoplasmataceae. The record is from RNAcentral. RNAcentral also lists the same sequence under 1 other name.